UACGUAGGUGGCGAGCGUUGUCCGGAUUUACUGGGUGUAAAGGGAGCGCAGACGGCAGUGCAAGUCUGAUGUGAAAGCCCGGGGCUCAACCCCGGAACUGCAUUGGAAACUGUACAGCUUGAGUGUCGGAGAGGUAAGCGGAAUUCCUAGUGUAGCGGUGAAAUGCGUAGAUAUUAGGAGGAACACCGGUGGCGAAGGCGGCUUACUGGACGAUGACUGACGUUGAGGCUCGAAAGCGUGGGGAGCAAACAGGAUUAGAUACCCGUGUA
Molecule: ribosomal RNA, 269 nt
Filed under: uncultured prokaryote
Description: partial 16S ribosomal RNA
Rfam family: Bacterial small subunit ribosomal RNA
Source: RNAcentral